GUGCACUAGAGUAUGCCAGGGAGGCGAAGGUAAAAUUUGGAUUUCAAAAGGCAGUUUAUGAUGGCUUCCGUAUGUUUUUUCUUACCAUGUUAGACAGACCCAGUGCCAAGAUUAUGAAAAAGAUGAUUGGGCAUAAGUUGUUAGGGGGUAAUAAACCUUCACCAGUAACUUUUGAUGCAUACUUACGAGUUAAAAAGGACUCCAGUUCUGAUGAUUUCUUGGAGAAUUAUGUUUUGACAAAGAGUGUUAUGAAGCAACUUGAGAACUUGGCGCGUGCUGUUUUUAUCAAGAGAUAUCCUGUUCUGUUACAGGGGCCGACUUCUAGUGGAAAAACUAGCCUUGUUCAGUAUCUUGCUGCAAGAACUGGUCAUGAAUUUGUGCGGAUAAACAACCAUGAACACACUGAUCUGCAGGAAUAUUUAGGUUCUUACUCAUCUGAUGCUCAUGGAAAGCUCAUUUUUCAUGAAGGUGUAUUGGUUAAAGCUGUUCGAAAUGGUUAUUGGAUUGUUCUGGAUGAGCUAAAUCUUGCCCCCUCUGAUGUGCUGGAAGCAUUAAAUCGUUUGUUAGAUGAUAAUAGGGAACUUUUCGUGCCUGAAUUGCGUGAGACUGUACGUGCACAUCCAAAUUUUAUGCUUUUUGCUACUCAAAAUCCACCUACUUUCUAUGGUGGGCGUAA
This 676-nucleotide unclassified non-coding RNA is filed under the name Hevea brasiliensis (rubber tree). Lineage: Eukaryota; Viridiplantae; Streptophyta; Magnoliopsida; Malpighiales; Euphorbiaceae. The record is from RNAcentral.